GCUUGCUUCUUGGGUGGCGAGUGGCGAACGGGUGAGUAACAUAUCGGAACGUACCGAGCAGUGGGGGAUAACUAAUCGAAAGAUUAGCUAAUACCGCAUAUUUUCUGAGGAAGAAAGCAGGGGACCAUUUGGCCUUGCGCUGUUUGAGCGGCCGAUAUCUGAUUAGCUAGUUGGUGGGGUAAAGGCCUACCAAGGCGAUGAUCAGUAGCGGGUCUGAGAGGAUGAUCCGCCACACUGGGACUGAGACACGGCCCAGACUCCUACGGGAGGCAGCAGUGGGGAAUUUUGGACAAUGGGCGCAAGCCUGAUCCAGCCAUGCCGCGUGUCUGAAGAAGGCCUUCGGGUUGUAAAGGACUUUUGUCAGGGAAGAAAAGGACAGGGUUAAUACCCCUGUCUGAUGACGGUACCUGAAGAAUAAGCACCGGCUAACUACGUGCCAGCAGCCGCGGUAAUACGUAGGGUGCGAGCGUUAAUCGGAAUUACUGGGCGUAAAGCGGGCGCAGACGGUUACUUAAGCAGGAUGUGAAAUCCCCGGGCUCAACCUGGGAACUGCGUUCUGAACUGGGUGACUAGAGUGUGUCAGAGGGAGGUAGAAUUCCACGUGUAGCAGUGAAAUGCGUAGAGAUGUGGAGGAAUACCGAUGGCGAAGGCAGCCUCCUGGGAUAACACUGACG
RNAcentral lists this ribosomal RNA (674 nucleotides) under Neisseria sicca. Its description in RNAcentral is "bacterial SSU rRNA". It matches the Rfam family "Bacterial small subunit ribosomal RNA", at positions 78 to 745 of the family's 1533-position model. Lineage: Bacteria; Pseudomonadati; Pseudomonadota; Betaproteobacteria; Neisseriales; Neisseriaceae. The record is from RNAcentral.